RNAcentral lists this ribosomal RNA (453 nucleotides) under uncultured Cellulosilyticum sp. Its description in RNAcentral is "partial 16S ribosomal RNA". It matches the Rfam family "Bacterial small subunit ribosomal RNA", at positions 341 to 792 of the family's 1533-position model. The record is from RNAcentral. Lineage: Bacteria; Bacillati; Bacillota; Clostridia; Lachnospirales; Cellulosilyticaceae.
ACGGAAGGCAGCAGUGGGGAAUAUUGCACAAUGGGCGCAAGCCUGAUGCAGCGACGCCGCGUGAAGGAUGAAGGUCUUCGGAUUGUAAACUUCUAUCAGCAGGGAAGAAAAGAAACUUAAGUUUCUACAGUGACGGUACCUGACUAAGAAGCUCCGGCUAACUACGUGCCAGCAGCCGCGGUAAUACGUAGGGAGCAAGCGUUAUCCGGAUUUACUGGGUGUAAAGGGUGCGUAGGCGGCCUGGCAAGUUAGAAGUGAAAUUUAGGGGCUCAACCCCUGAGCUGCUUCUAAAACUACCGGGCUAGAGUGCAGGAGAGGAAAGCGGAACGCCACGUGUAGCGGUGAAAUGCGUAGAGAUGUGGAGGAACACCAGUAGCGAAGGCGGCUUUCUGGACUGUAACUGACGCUGAGGCACGAAAGCGUGGGGAGCAAACAGGAUUAGAUACCCUGGUA